RNAcentral lists this ribosomal RNA (519 nucleotides) under uncultured bacterium. RNAcentral's name for it is "bacterial SSU rRNA". It matches the Rfam family "Bacterial small subunit ribosomal RNA", at positions 26 to 518 of the family's 1533-position model. The record is from RNAcentral.
AGGACGAACGCUGGCGGCGUGCCUAAUACAUGCAAGUCGAACGGUCUUUCUAUGGAAGCUUGCUUCCACUGAGAAGAUAGUGGCGGACGGGUGAGUAACACGUGGGUAACCUGCCCAUAAGAGGGGGAUAACAUCCGGAAACGGGUGCUAAUACCGCAUAGUUUUCUUGAUCGCAUGAUCGAGAAAGGAAAGACGGCCUUUGUGCUGUCGCUUAUGGAUGGACCCGCGGCGUAUUAGUUAGUUGGUGAGGUAACGGCUCACCAAGACGAUGAUACGUAGCCGACCUGAGAGGGUGAUCGGCCACAUUGGGACUGAGACACGGCCCAAACUCCUACGGGAGGCAGCAGUAGGGAAUCUUCCGCAAUGGACGAAAGUCUGACGGAGCAACGCCGCGUGAGUGAAGAAAGGUUUUCGGAUCGUAAAACUCUGUUGUCAGAGAAGAACAAGUCGGAGAGUAACUGCUCCGGCCUUGACGGUAUCUGACCAGAAAGCCACGGCUAACUACGUGCCAGCAGCCGC